Mustela putorius furo (domestic ferret) is the source of this 214-nucleotide non-coding RNA. NCBI's taxonomy places the organism in Eukaryota, Metazoa, Chordata, Mammalia, Carnivora, Mustelidae. The record is from Rfam.
GCUUAGAAGACUCCCUGAAAUAAAGGUGAGAAGUUCUUUGUUUGAAACAUUAACAGCAGCCACCACCCUUAACAAGCAAAUGAAGCAUAGUUAUUUUUUAAAGAACACAAAUUAAAUGUUUAAACUGCACUUUCCCUUUGAAUUACAUGGCUCCCAAAGGGAAAAAAAAAAAAGUUUGAAAGGAUUGAGAAAACAACUUCAAAACAAAAUUGAG